CCACGGUCCCUGCAUUAAGUAGCUGAAUCCUGACAUAAGUUGAAACCAUAUUCAGCUUCACCCCCCCCCCCUCCCCUUCCCGGUUCAACACAGCUUCCAAACCCCUUCCUGGCCGGCCCAGUUCUACAGCUCCGCCUUACAAACAAAAUGGCUGAGGUGCCCAGUUUUUUGGAUCCUUCCACCCGGCCUCCAGGAAGUGGUAAAAAUUCAAAAUAAAUAUAGCACUAAAGUACAACCUUGAGUCUGAACUCCGGACCACCCUUUGGUGCUGGUGCUAGCGGGGUGCCUAGGAAAUGCGCUGCUUUUUUGCUAAAUUUCUAAUGAGCUGAAGAUGAAAGAAGAAAACACUAAAGGAUGAAAAUAGGACGGAGAAUUGUCUACAUUCUUCAAGACCACUCCCACUCCCACUCCCACAGAGAUCUGGGAAGCCACACUCUUCAGAUCCAGAGCUUGAAGUGUGUUAACCACCAGUGAAGCCCGGCACUCUGGAGCCAGAGCCAGAGAACACAAAAGCCACCAUAAGAUUCUGUGACAUCUCUGCUGUUGGAACCAGAUGUGGCAGCAGCUUUCCAGCCAGCACACCUGCUGGCUGCUGUGGAUCCUGUGUCUCUCAAUGUGUCAGCAGACACGACAUACAUUUUAUACCCCUGGCUCUGCCUCCUGCACAAAUGGCUGCACCAGAUCCGUUCUUUAUUUGGCAGUCCCUUUUCUGUCUGAUUUGAGGACAGUACCAGUUCUGUGGUCUCUCACAUAGUCAUCCUUUCGGUCCUUGGCACUAUUCAGCCUUCCCCUCUAAAAGAUAUCAUUUUUAUUUUCUGAUCUUUUUCUUUUUUAAUUUUUCCUUUUAUAGAAUUUUUUUUCCUCACAAAAUACAUCUUGAUUUUGGUUUCUUCUUCUACUCCUCCUAGCUCCUCCCCACCUCCCAUCCAGAUCCACCCCUUUCUGUCUCACAUUAGAAAACAAGCAGGC
This 969-nucleotide long non-coding RNA is filed under the name Cricetulus griseus (Chinese hamster). RNAcentral's name for it is "lncRNA (ENSCGRG00015030040.1)". Lineage: Eukaryota; Metazoa; Chordata; Mammalia; Rodentia; Cricetidae. The record is from RNAcentral.